CUUUUACAAUGAAGAGUUUGAUCCUGGCUCAGGAUGAACGCUAGCUACAGGCUUAACACAUGCAAGUCGAGGGGCAGCAUUUCAGUUUGCUUGCAAACUGGAGA
This 104-nucleotide ribosomal RNA is filed under the name Bacteroides thetaiotaomicron. RNAcentral describes it as "partial 16S ribosomal RNA". It matches the Rfam family "Bacterial small subunit ribosomal RNA", at positions 1 to 94 of the family's 1533-position model. Lineage: Bacteria; Pseudomonadati; Bacteroidota; Bacteroidia; Bacteroidales; Bacteroidaceae. The record is from RNAcentral.